This 689-nucleotide ribosomal RNA is filed under the name Salmonella enterica. RNAcentral's name for it is "partial 23S ribosomal RNA". It matches the Rfam family "Bacterial large subunit ribosomal RNA", at positions 1 to 723 of the family's 2925-position model. Lineage: Bacteria; Pseudomonadati; Pseudomonadota; Gammaproteobacteria; Enterobacterales; Enterobacteriaceae. The record is from RNAcentral.
GGGUUGUGAGGUUAAGCGACUAAGCGUACACGGUGGAUGCCCUGGCAGUCAGAGGCGAUGAAGGGCGUGCUAAUCUGCGAUAAGCGCCGGUAAGGUGAUAUGAACCGUUAUAACCGGCGAUACCCGAAUGGGGAAACCCAGUGUGAUUCGUCACACUAUCAUUAACUGAAUCCAUAGGUUAAUGAGGCGAACCGGGGGAACUGAAACAUCUAAGUACCCCGAGGAAAAGAAAUCAACCGAGAUUCCCCCAGUAGCGGCGAGCGAACGGGGAGGAGCCCAGAGCCUGAAUCAGCAUGUGUGUUAGUGGAAGCGUCUGGAAAGGCGCGCGAUACAGGGUGACAGCCCCGUACACAAAAGCGUAUGUGCUGUGAGCUCGAUGAGUAGGGCGGGACACGUGGUAUCCUGUCUGAAUAUGGGGGGACCAUCCUCCAAGGCUAAAUACUCCUGACUGACCGAUAGUGAACCAGUACCGUGAGGGAAAGGCGAAAAGAACCCCGGCGAGGGGAGUGAAAAAGAACCUGAAACCGUGUACGUACAAGCAGUGGGAGCACCCUUUGGGGUGUGACUGCGUACCUUUUGUAUAAUGGGUCAGCGACUUAUAUUCUGUAGCAAGGUUAACCGAAUAGGGGAGCCGGAGGGAAACCGAGUCUUAAUUGGGCGUUAAGUUGCAGGGUAUAGACCCGAAACCC